RNAcentral lists this long non-coding RNA (400 nucleotides) under Hordeum vulgare. RNAcentral describes it as "long non-coding RNA (HVUL_LNC012078)". Lineage: Eukaryota; Viridiplantae; Streptophyta; Magnoliopsida; Poales; Poaceae. The record is from RNAcentral.
UAAGAUUCAUAGAUAAUCUGAUCAUAAAUCCACAAUUCAUCGGAUCUCGAUAAACACACCGCAAAAGAAGAUUACAUCGGAUAGGUCUCCAUGAAGAUCAUGGGGAACUUUGUAUUGAAGAUCCAAGACAGAGAAGAAGCCAUCUAUCUACUAGCUAUGGACCCGAAGGUCUAUGGUGAACUACUCACGCAUCAUCUGAGAGGUUAUGGUGUUGAUGAAGAAGCCCUCCAUAUCUGAAUCCUCCUCUGGAAGGGCACCAGAACAUGCCCCAGAUGGGAUCUUGCGGAGAUAGAAGCUUGCGGCAGCGGAAAAGUAUUUUCGUGUGUCUCUCGCGCAGUUUUGGAUUUUCUCUGAAUUUAUAGGCGAAAGAGGUAGGGUAGACGAGCCACAGAGGGCCCAC